UUUUGAAGCAGAGGAGAAGCGUGACGCAUGCAAUGUCUAAUACGUUGAUGGCUGGUACAUUUAUUAAAAAUUGGAAGACACGCACACAAACAAAACAUGUUACAACUUCAUAUAAUCAGAUAGAGAAAUGACAUUUUAAGUGAAUUAUGGAUCAUAAUAGUUAAGAUCAUGGACCAAUCAAUAAAAUUAUUGCACACAAUUAAAUUCAUCCAUAUCAACAUUUUAGUAUAUCAUAUUUAAAAUGAGAGACUUUUCACAUUAAGUAGUAUAGUAGUAGUAAUUAUGAAUUAAAAUAAUUAAUAAUACAUAUAUCAUAAAAUGAUGUGAACAAACAGUCACGCGUGUAAAAUUUCUAUUGGUUUAGUUUAUAAUCUUCGAAAGCGAGAAAAAAAGAAGUGUAAACGUAGCAAGCUGCAAAUUGGAAUUCUCUUAAAGAUAUUAUAGAUAUGAAACCAAGAAUAAUCUCUUGAAUCCACCCGUUAUCAUCAUAUUGCUACAAUCGUUGUCAGUACAACAAUAAAUUCCUUGACAUUUAAAGGAAUGUUUUUUUUUUUUUAAUUCGUGCAAUUAUCUGUUAUGGAUAUUUAGAUGAAUAUUUGAUUCCUUCAGUGUCAAUAUCCAUAAUUUUCAAAUUUCAAGAAGCAAAAUUCAAUGUUUUUGUCGAGUUCAACGCUUGAAAACCUUCAUAUUUGUCACAUUAUCUGGUUAAAUAGCAUGUAUCAGAUUAGGCGGUCAUGCAAUUACAUUAAAAGACCCAUGGCUUCUUUGAAAAUGCUAUUAAAUACAUUUAGAUACAUCAAGAUAAUGAUAACAGCCCAUAUCGCUUGAUAAUUUUCCACAUGAAUGGAAAUGGUUGUCACGUAAAUCAUUUGAAGCAAUUUGCUAAUAGGUUUUGUCAAGUUAUAAUUCAACAAGCCACAACAUAAGUACCUGAUGGGAGGGAACUUGGCCGUGAAAUUCCAUUUCUUGUGGAUUAACAAGGAUGGAAUGCAGAGCUACUGCGCCUGCAUUGGUUCAGGUUCGACUGUAAACUGAUUACAUGGGAGAAUAAAUAGCAGCGCCUAUACUGUGGGGACGACGAAGAUCAUUCCCAUGCAAGCUGCAUCUGAAAUCCAAUUCCAC
This is a long non-coding RNA of Populus euphratica (Euphrates poplar), 1122 nucleotides long. RefSeq lists it as uncharacterized. NCBI's taxonomy places the organism in Eukaryota, Viridiplantae, Streptophyta, Magnoliopsida, Malpighiales, Salicaceae. The transcript has 2 exons. The record is from RefSeq and is a predicted model, not a curated record.